RNAcentral lists this unclassified non-coding RNA (289 nucleotides) under Pseudopithomyces sp. RNAcentral describes it as "partial internal transcribed spacer region". The stretch from base 1 to 46 matches the Rfam family "Eukaryotic small subunit ribosomal RNA", at positions 1786 to 1831 of the family's 1831-position model. The record is from RNAcentral. Lineage: Eukaryota; Fungi; Ascomycota; Dothideomycetes; Pleosporales; Didymosphaeriaceae.
AAGUCGUAACAAGGUUUCCGUAGGUGAACCUGCGGAAGGAUCAUUAACCUUUCAAAUCAGGGUGCGGCGCGGCCCCCGAGGAGCGGAAACAAUCCUUGGGAGGUAUGCGGGGGCUUCGAGCCCCCCAUUUACGCACGCACGACUGCCAUCCUUACUUUACGAGCACCUUCUGUUCUCCCUCGGCGGGGCAACCUGCCGUUGGAACCGAAUAAACUCUUUUUGCAUCUAGCAUUACCUGUUCCGAAACAAACGAUCGUUACAACUUUCAACAAUGGAUCUCUUGGCUCUG